This 1409-nucleotide unclassified non-coding RNA is filed under the name Hevea brasiliensis (rubber tree). The record is from RNAcentral. Lineage: Eukaryota; Viridiplantae; Streptophyta; Magnoliopsida; Malpighiales; Euphorbiaceae.
GGAUCAGGAAAGUGUUCUAAAAGCCACAAAAAGAUACCUGCAAAUGUUUCUCAGGUAAUUGAUCAUCUUCUUGAAAUAGUAGCAGCAUUUCCUACGCAGGGAUUGGUUGAAGAUUGUGUGGGAAACGCCUGUGCUAUGGAGGUUGAUGAGCCCAUAGUCAGAGUAAAGGGGAAAUCAAAGGUUGAUGAGGUGCGGGAGGUUCAGUCUGACAGUGUAUCAGAGAAAUCAGCAGGGCUUGCUAAAGUUACUUUUGUACUCAAAUUGUUGAGUGACAUUCUUAUGAUGUAUGUACAUGCUCUUGGGGUUAUCCUGAGAAGGGAUCUGGAGAUGUGUCAACUACGGGGACCCCAUCAGCUAGAGAAUCCUGGUUAUGGCGGUAUUAUUCAUCAUGUGUUGCAACGGCUUCUUCCCCUUUCAAUCGAUAAAUCUGCAGGACCUGAUGAAUGGAGAGACAAGCUGUCUGAAAAAGCUUCAUGGUUUCUUGUAGUUUUGUCUGGCAGAUCUAGUGAAGGUCGUAGGAGGGUUAUAAAUGAACUUGUGAAAGCCUUGUCUUUAUUUGUGAAGUCUGAAAGCAACUCUGCCCGUAGCAGUUUAUUGCCAGAUAAAAAGGUCCUUGCUUUUGUUGAUCUGGCAUACUCCAUUUUGUCCAAGAACUCAUCCUCAGGUGACCUACCCGGUUCUGGUUGUUCUCCCGAAAUAGCCAAAAGCAUGAUAGAUGGAGGAUUGGUCCAAUCCUUAUCUGGUGUCCUUCAAGCAAUUGAUUUGGAUCACCCUGAUGCUCCAAAAGUUGUGAAUCUAAUUCUUAAAACAUUGGAAAGCCUAACAAGGGCUGCCAAUGCUAGUGAGCAACUUUAUAAAACUGAUUCUGUGAACAAGAAAAAGACAACUGCCGUGAAUGGUAGAUCGGAUAAUCAGGUGAAUGCAACAUCAGCCUUUCAACAUAUAGAGGCCAGUGGAAAUGGAAGCAGCCAGCCGGAGGUUCCGGAUACAAAUGCAGGGCAACUGCCGCUCAGUGCUUCUGAGAAUCACAGCAAUGAGAAUGUGACUACAGACCCGUCCAUGGUGCAAGAAUUGCGAACUGAGCAAGAAGCAAAUGCAGGCGAUCCUCCUCUCGAGCUUGGGUUGGAUUACAUGCGUGAUGAGAUGGAAGUCAAUGGUGUUUUGAACGACACAGAGCAAAUUGGCAUGGGUUUCCACGUUGAGAAUAGGGCACAUCAUGAACUGGGUGAAGAAGAUGAUGAUAUGGGAGAUGACGGUGAGGAUGACGAGGAUGAUGAUGAGGGUGAGGAUGAGGAUGAAGAUAUAGCUGAAGAUGGCACUGGCUUGAUGUCUCUGGCUGAUACAGAUGGGGAAGAGCAUGAUGAUGCUGGCCUGGGAGGUGAAUACAAUGAUGACAUGGUUGAUGAAGA